UCGGCCCAAAUCCAAAAAUCCAACACACUACAACCACAAAAACCUGUCAGCUAUGUCAAGACCAAAUAAGUAAAGUGGCCGCCUCUUCACUUUCUUCUUCAUCUCAUCGAUGAAUUCGACGAUCAGAAAAUGUCCAGCUUCUUCUAUCCUCUUCCUCGUUAAAAUUCGGUUCCACACAGAGAUGAUGAAACCUUUCUGAGUUUGUUGUUGUUCUUCACUGCUUCUCAGCUUCAAUCUUAUGUAUUUGACUUAGAAUUGAAAAGAUUAUUCUCUUCUGAGGUUUGAAAGUUUCAAUCCAAAGUUUAGAUUGAGCUUUGAGUGCAUUUUAUCUUGCGCGUUUAAUGUCAUGAAAUUACCCAAUCGGAGACUAAUCCAUCUUAACCAACACACAUCCAUACCUCCUGACCUCAGAUAAUUCUUUCCUUUUCUCUUCUUCCUUAUUUACCUGAUUCUAUUUGAGAUUUUCACCACUUCAUCUUUUUUAACAGGUUGAGCUCAAACAAGGAGCUAAUACCACUGUCCUAAAAAUCUGAAGCAAGCUUUUAUCCCAACAAAUCAGGUAAAUGAUACAUUCAACCUUGUUUCUCUCUUUCACUUCCUGCACUUCAGUACUUAUUGUUGUUUCUUAUUCCAUUUGCAUUAUGAUGGUGUUCCUGCUUGACUAUAUUUCGAAAUGGUGGCAUGUAUGUCAUGACGAAAAAGAUAAGAUCUUAUGUUAUACUAUAUCUAUCAUGUUGGAUAAUUCACAAAUACUGAAGUGUAAAUGUCAUGAACAAUUUUUCACUCUGUUCCUCAUUAAAACUUUUUUCUUUUUUUCUUUUCUACCUCUCCUCUAUUAAUUCCAAUUAGUUCAUAAUACCUCUCUCAUUGAUUAUCACAUUUCAAUAUAUAUAUAUAUAUGCAAAAUAAUUUUAAAGAUACAAAAGGGGAAAAACAUCAUGAAAAAUAAGAAGGAUAUCAACUAUAUUUAAUGCUAAUUUUUUUUAAUUAGAAGGUGAGGUUUAAGGGUAUGUUUUAUUCAUAAGUGAAAUUGUACCGAAUCCCAGUCCAAAAGUGAUCUAGCCCAAAGUGGAAAAACACAAAAGCAAAAAACAAAAAGAAAAAUGAAGGAAAGUGACCUCCUAAAAACAAAACAAAAGAAAAAGAUAAAAGAGUAUCUAAGCGGAGAAGAAUAUUCUCGAAGCUUGACUCUUCGUUUCCACCGCCAUAUGCUGGAGCUCCACAUCACAUUUGACGAGCAAAAGGAGAUCUACAAAUGUUUUGUCCAGAAGGAUCCGACACAUAUACUCUCAACUGUGAUCGAUGGGACCUCCAAAGCCGUCAAAUCAAAUGUUGAGGAAGGUAGAUUCUCUACCUUGGAGGGUUACAACUUGUUCCUGUUGUGCAUCUCAAACUGAUGUUGAUUUACUCUCUCCCUUUUUAGAAACUCCUCCAAUUUGUCACCGGUGUGGGGGAGCUCUUCCCAAACGUAAGAUUGCAAAGAACCUCUUUUUAAUAUCUAUUUGUGCAUAAAUUAUAUUUAAAUCAUUUUUUGAUAUGACUUUCCAACCGAAAUGGUGGGUUUCCUAUCUAAUCGUCGUCGAUUUGACCGCCGAGAUGAAUUUUUGAUCAAAAUGUAAAUCUGGGCGUGCAGGGAGUUGAAAUAUCUUUGACUUAAAGAGUUAACUUAAGUAUGAUCAAGUCAAAAAUCUACUCCCAACCAUUGACGGGUUGAUCUCUGAUGGAGAUUGAUACCACCAUCUAAAAACUAAAUCUUCAAAGAGAUAACUUACACAAUACUUUGAAGGUACGAAGUGUUCACUAUGACUAGAAGGAGAAGAAAUGGACUAAUGCAGCAGUUAAACUAGAUUUGUAUCUCUUAGGUCCAGAUUUUGUAUCACAUGAAUGCCCCUAAGCUCCCACUAGGUGAGUAAUACUUCAGACCAAAUGAAAUUACUUCAGAAUCUGAAAGCAUACAUCAGUAAAUUAGCAAGUAUGUUAGAUCUAUUUGUCUCCUAUUUAUUGUUGAAAUGAACUGUUCCAUCUAAGACCUUGAACCAACAUUGGAUAUCCUUGAGUAUAUGUAUGUUUGAUCCUCAUAUAAGGAAGUGUUAUUCUUGUCUAGGUUAAUGAUUGAUUUGCCUAUCCUUGGAAUUACCUAAAAAGAAUUAAACUAAUAAUUACCUGCAAAAACAAAACUUAAGUUAGAAAAAAAAUCACCAAGAGUAUUUUUCUCUCUUAAGGAAAGUUAUUCUCUUACUGAAAUAGCAUUUCUUAUUAUGUUGUUGGAGUUUCCCUCCAUUGUUACUCUGUGGGAUCUCCAAUUUUCCAUUAAGAAUGUGAAUCAUGGUCAUAGUCAGUUUCUAGGAUGAUAUGAGAGCGCUUAUUAUCCAAUAAUACUUCAAACCUUCUCUUAUAACAACAGAUGUAGCCACUAGAUUAGUAGAAUCUAGGAUCUUCACUCCUUUAGCAACUAUCAAGUUGUCAUUAGUUUCUCUCAAACAAAAUGGAGGAGGUCCCAUCUGUGUUACAUUUCAGCCAAACAGUUGGAGGGAUCCAUCUAUCAAGCAAAAUAGAUUUGACAUAUUAUAAAUUCUUCUGAGCCACUAGUUAAAUAAUGUAUUUUAAAUCCAUAAAUUAGGAGGUGUAAGAUAGUGUCAAGAGUUACACUGAUGCUAGGUUGCCAUUCAUUUUUUGGCCAUGGUUUUGGAUAUGACGAGUUACGUGAUGAGUAUAAAAUAGUUAUUAUCUCCAAUAAAUUUAAACUUAUUAAGUUCAAACCUACAAAUGGAUGACACUUGGUGAACAUGUAGGGAUUUUCAAGGCUCUUUUAUAAAUUGCUCACCUAAUGUGUAAUGGGGAGGCUUUAUUGGAAAUCUUUAGGUGAGAACAAUGGCUACAAGAUUAGUCGUAACAUUGUUUCUUUUGAUUUAGGUAAUGAGACAUGGGAUAAGGUGGAGCAACCCAAUAUGAAGAGGGUGUUAUUCGAUUUAAAGAGGAAGUGAUCUAUCGUACUCUGUAGCUAUGAGAGACAUCAUUCUGAUAUGUGGGUGAUGAACGAUUUUGGGGUUGAAGCAUUGGAAAAGGAUUUUUACCAUUGGUUGCCCUCCUUAUCCUAGGGUGAGUCAAUCAAAUGAGUACAAGUUCCUGAACUUAUGGGGGGUGUUUUGAGGCAGAAAUCUUUGUUGAAAGCUUGGUUAACCCUUUGUUGAUAGGUGCUCAGGAACAUGAUAAUAAUAAAGGCUGAAAAUUAUGUCGUCGAUUACUUGUAAGUGUUAAAACUUUAUAUAAUUAUUGGUUUGGUUCAGUUAUUUUUGAUGGCCAAACCAAAUAUUACUGAUUUUUGAAAAUGUAAAAGUCAAAUCAAAUAAAGUUUGACCUCUUUAAUCGAUUUUUCGACUUGGGUCGAUUUUGACCCAAACCGUGAGCUGGGGGUGUGCAUUGAUCAAUUUGGUUCUGGUUUUUGUAUUAUCAAUUCGAUUUGUCGGUUUUAAUUUUUAAAUAUUUUAAAUUUAAUAACUAAACCAAUAAGAUAUUCUUAUCAGUUUUCAGUUUAUCAAUUCUUAGACCUUGAUGGUUCGAUUUCUUAGUUGCAGGCAAAAUCCUAUAUGAUAUGUUUUAAUUUAUAUAAUAUUGAACGUCAGUUCAAAAAAUUUAAUAGGUUUGUUAGUUUACAGAAAUUAAAGAGCAAUUAAGAGAAAUAAUGUGUGUGUAUCUAUAAUAUAUUAAAAGUGUAAAGACCCUUAGAAAAGUGAUUUGAACCUUUUACUCUUUAUUAAAAGACUCUUUUUUAGAUAAAACUGUUUUUUCACUAUUUCUUAAAUUUAUUAUUUAAUUAUUUUUUAUUAUAUUAACUAGACUUUCUAAAAUAUAUGGGAUUUCAAAAAUAUAUGGUAGGAAAAUUAAAUAAUAUUUUACUUUCUAAAAUAUACGGGACUCCUAAAAUAUAUGGUAGGAGAAUUAAUUAAUAUUUUUCUUUCUAUUGUUCAAUUAGAAAGUUACUCCUAAAAUAGGAUUCUAUUAAGGAAAUACUUCUAUAAAUAUUGAGAUGUACGUUAAACUAGAGAACCAACUGGUUUGCCUAUAUAUAUAUAUUUCUUUAUUUUCAUUCAAAAUCAUUCUUUAGGAUCAAGAUUUUCGCUCAGACAAGAAUUAGUUGGAUCAAAAUCGAAGCUUUGUGAUCACUGUUAUUUUUUUUGCCAAACUCAUCGGCAGCCCCUGAACUUGGCACAAUCUUUCACUUUGGCACCUCAAGUGGACGUUGUUCACUUUUGGCACUUUAUGUAGCUAUAAGUUUGUCAUUUUGACACCUUUUGCUGAUUCAGCAAAGAGAUUGUAUUACACUCGCUUUUAAGCGAGUUUCAAGGGUAUUUUCAUAAUAUUUUCAUCUUCCUUCUCUUUCUUCCUCACUCUUUCAAUCCAUUUUUUCCCUUUCCUUGACACAUCCAUACACGAAUUUCUCCUUCAUUGAUCUAAUUAACAGAGAAAAAAAAAAAGAAAGAAGCAAGGU
Molecule: RNA transcript, 4489 nt
Organism: Capsicum annuum
Lineage: Eukaryota; Viridiplantae; Streptophyta; Magnoliopsida; Solanales; Solanaceae
Exons: 2
Source: RefSeq, a predicted model, not a curated record